GGAGGCCAGUGAAUGGCAAGACUAGGAACACCUUUACUUUGUGGUGUCAAAAAAACUUUUCGUCUAGGUGAAAAGACUUAGAUAACAAAGGAAGACGAAAAGACCCCGGGGAGCUUCACCUCUUCUCGCGCUUCUGUUUACACACUUAAAAGUGCUUAAGGUUUGAUUGGGGCAAUCUCGGAAUCAUCAAAGCUUCCGAUUCUUUAGAAAUCACAUCUAAAACUUACUAAGGACCAAAAAGAAGCUACCCCGGGGAUAACAGCGUAAUCCAACUCAAGAGUACAUAUCGAAAGUUGGGUUUGCGACCUCGAUGUUUGGUAA
Molecule: ribosomal RNA, 321 nt
Filed under: Cristaria plicata
Lineage: Eukaryota; Metazoa; Mollusca; Bivalvia; Unionida; Unionidae
Description: partial 16S ribosomal RNA
Rfam family: Bacterial large subunit ribosomal RNA (bases 62-321)
Source: RNAcentral